RNAcentral lists this ribosomal RNA (403 nucleotides) under bacterium. RNAcentral's name for it is "partial 16S ribosomal RNA". It matches the Rfam family "Bacterial small subunit ribosomal RNA", at positions 355 to 776 of the family's 1533-position model. The record is from RNAcentral.
UGGGGAAUAUUGCACAAUGGGGGAAACCCUGAUGCAGCGUCGCCGCGUGAUCGAAGAAGGUAUUCGUAUCGUAAAGUUCUGCCCUAUGGGAAGAUAAUGACAGUACCAUAGAAGAAAGCUCCGGCUAAAUACGUGCCAGCAGCAGCGGUAAUACGUAUGGAGCGAGCGUUGUCCGGAAUUAUUGGGCGUAAAGGGUACGCAGGCGGUUUAAUAAGUCGAAUGUUAAAGAUCGGGGCUCAACCCCGUAAAGCAAUGGAAACUGAUAAACUUGAGGAGUUGAGAGGAGAGUGGAAUUCCUAGUGGAGUGGGUAAAUACGUAGAUAUUAGGAGGAAUACCAGUAGCGGAGGCGACUUUCUGGACACAAACUGAAGCUGAAGUACGAAAGAGUGGGGAGCAAACAGG